UACGUAGGGAGCAAGCGUUGUCCGGAAUCAUUGGGCGUAAAGCGCGCGUAGGUGGCUUCGUAAGUCCGCUGUGAAAGUCCAGGGCUCAACCCUGGGAUGCCGGUGGAUACUGUCGGGCUCGAGUCCGGAAGAGGCGAGUGGAAUUCCUGGUGUAGCGGUGAAAUGCGCAGAUAUCAGGAGGAACACCAAUGGCGAAGGCAGCUCGCUGGGACGUGACUGACGCUGAGACGCGAAAGCGUGGGGAGCAAACAGG
RNAcentral lists this ribosomal RNA (253 nucleotides) under uncultured bacterium. Its description in RNAcentral is "partial 16S ribosomal RNA". It matches the Rfam family "Bacterial small subunit ribosomal RNA", at positions 524 to 776 of the family's 1533-position model. The record is from RNAcentral.